AAUGCUUAGGAAUCUGCCUAUUAGUGGGGGACAACAUUUCGAAAGGGAUGCUAAUACCGCAUACUCCCUAAGGGGGAAAGCAGGGGAUCUUCGGACCUUGCGCUAAUAGAUGAGCCUAAGUCGGAUUAGCUAGUUGGUGGGGUAAAGGCCUACCAAGGCGACGAUCUGUAGCGGGUCUGAGAGGAUGAUCCGCCACACUGGGACUGAGACACGGCCCAGACUCCUACGGGAGGCAGCAGUGGGGAAUAUUGGACCAUGGGGGGAACCCGGAUCCAGCCAUGCCCUGUGUGUGAAGAAGGCCUUUUGGUUGUAAAGCACUUUAAGCGAGGAGGAGGCUACUGAGAUUAACACUCUUGGAUAGUGGACGUUACUCGCA
Molecule: ribosomal RNA, 376 nt
Filed under: uncultured Acinetobacter sp.
Lineage: Bacteria; Pseudomonadati; Pseudomonadota; Gammaproteobacteria; Moraxellales; Moraxellaceae
Description: bacterial SSU rRNA
Rfam family: Bacterial small subunit ribosomal RNA
Source: RNAcentral